RNAcentral lists this ribosomal RNA (253 nucleotides) under uncultured bacterium. Its description in RNAcentral is "partial 16S ribosomal RNA". It matches the Rfam family "Bacterial small subunit ribosomal RNA", at positions 524 to 776 of the family's 1533-position model. The record is from RNAcentral.
UACGAAGGGGGCUAGCGUUGUUCGGAAUUACUGGGCGUAAAGCGCACGUAGGCGGGUUGUUAAGUCAGGGGUGAAAUCCUGGAGCUCAACUCCAGAACUGCCUUUGAUACUGGCAACCUAGAGACUGGAAGAGGUUAGUGGAAUUCCCAGUGUAGAGGUGUAAUUCGUAGAUAUUGGGAAGAACACCAGUGGCGAAGGCGGCUAACUGGUCCAGCACUGACGCUGAGGUGCGAAAGCGUGGGGAGCAAACAGG